UGGGGAAUCUUGGACAAUGGGCGCAAGCCUGAUCCAGCCAUGCCGCGUGCGGGAAGAAGGCCUUCGGGUUGUAAACCGCUUUUGUCAGGGAAGAAAUCCUUUGUGCUAAUACCUCGGGGGAUGACGGUACCUGAAGAAUAAGCACCGGCUCACUAUGUGCCAGCAGCCGCGGUAAUACGUAGGGUGCAAGCGUUAAUCGGAAUUACUGGGCGUAAAGCGUGCGCAGGCGGUUAUGUAAGACAGUUGUGAAAUCCACGGGCUCAACCUGAGACCUGCAUUUGUGACUGCAUUGCUGGAGUACGGCAGAGGGGGAUGGAAUUCCGCGUGUAGCAGUGAAAUGCGUAGGUAUGCGGAAGAACAACGAGGGCGAAGGCAAGCCCCUGGGCCUGUAAUGACGCUCAUGCACGAAAGCGUGGGGAGCAAACA
This 426-nucleotide ribosomal RNA is filed under the name uncultured bacterium. RNAcentral describes it as "bacterial SSU rRNA". It matches the Rfam family "Bacterial small subunit ribosomal RNA", at positions 355 to 774 of the family's 1533-position model. The record is from RNAcentral.